This 253-nucleotide ribosomal RNA is filed under the name uncultured bacterium. RNAcentral's name for it is "partial 16S ribosomal RNA". It matches the Rfam family "Bacterial small subunit ribosomal RNA", at positions 524 to 776 of the family's 1533-position model. The record is from RNAcentral.
UACGUAGGGGGCAAGCGUUGUCCGGAAUCAUUGGGCGUAAAGCGCGUGUAGGCGGCCCGGUAAGUCCGCUGUGAAAGUCCAGGGCUCAACCCUGGAAUGCCGGUGGAUACUGUCGGGCUCGAGUCCGGAAGAGGCGAGUGGAAUUCCUGGUGUAGCGGUGAAAUGCGCAGAUAUCAGGAGGAACACCGGUGGCGAAGGCGGGACUCUGGGCCGAUACUGACGCUGAGGAGCGAAAGCGUGGGGAGCAAACAGG